CAUGCCGUAAACGGUGGGCGCUAGGUGUAGGGGUCUUCCACGACUUCUGUGCCGUAGCUAACGCAUUAAGCGCCCCGCCUGGGGAGUACGGCCGCAAGGCUAAAACUCAAAGGAAUUGACGGGGGCCCGCACAAGCGGCGGAGCAUGUGGAUUAAUUCGAUGCAACGCGAAGAACCUUACCUGGGCUUGACAUAUACGGGACGGGGCCAGAGAUGGUCCUUCCCUUGUGGCUCGUAUACAGGUGG
This 245-nucleotide ribosomal RNA is filed under the name uncultured Corynebacterium sp. RNAcentral's name for it is "partial 16S ribosomal RNA". It matches the Rfam family "Bacterial small subunit ribosomal RNA", at positions 796 to 1041 of the family's 1533-position model. The record is from RNAcentral. Lineage: Bacteria; Bacillati; Actinomycetota; Actinomycetes; Mycobacteriales; Corynebacteriaceae.